AGUCGAGGGGCAGCGCAGUGUAGCAAUACAUGGGCGGCGACCGGCAAACGGGUGCGGAACACGUACGCAACCUUCCUUCAAGCGGGGGAUAGCUUUCGGAAACGAAAAUUAAUACCCCAUAGCAAUGUCUGAUGGCAUCUGAAGACAUUUAAAGAUUUAUCACUUGAAGAUGGGCGUGCGCCUGAUUAGGUAGUUGGCGGGGUAACGGCCCACCAAGCCUGCGAUCAGUAACUGGUGUGAGAGCACGACCAGUCACACGGGCACUGAGACACGGGCCCGACUCCUACGGGAGGCAGCAGUAAGGAAUAUUGGUCAAUGGACGCAAGUCUGAACCAGCCAUGCCGCGUGGAGGAUGAAGGUCCUCUGGAUUGUAAACUUCUUUUAUCGGAGAAGAAACCCCUGAAUUCUUUUAGGGUUGACGGUACCCGAUGAAUAAGCACCGGCUAACUCCGUGCCGGCAGCCGCGGUAAUACGGAGGGUGCAAGCGUUAUCCGGAUUCACUGGGUUUAAAGGGAGCGUAGGUGGGCUGGUAAGUCAGUGGUGAAAUCUCCGGGCUUAACUCGGAAACUGCCGUUGAUACUAUCAGUCUUGAAUGUUGUGGAGGUAAGCGGAAUAUGUCAUGUAGCGGUGAAAUGCUUAGAUAUGACAUAGAACACCGAUAGCGAAGGCAGCUUGCUACACAAUUAUUGACACUGAGGCUCGAAAGCGUGGGGAUCAAACAGGAUUAGAUACCCUGGUAGUCCACGCCCUAAACGAUGGAUACUCGACAUACGCGAUACACAGUGUGUGUCUGAGCGAAAGCAUUAAGUAUCCCACCUGGGAAGUACGACCGCAAGGUUGAAACUCAAAGGAAUUGGC
This 858-nucleotide ribosomal RNA is filed under the name uncultured bacterium. Its description in RNAcentral is "bacterial SSU rRNA". It matches the Rfam family "Bacterial small subunit ribosomal RNA", at positions 60 to 914 of the family's 1533-position model. The record is from RNAcentral.